Molecule: long non-coding RNA, 289 nt
Organism: Gorilla gorilla gorilla (western lowland gorilla)
Lineage: Eukaryota; Metazoa; Chordata; Mammalia; Primates; Hominidae
Exons: 3
Source: RefSeq, a predicted model, not a curated record
GCUUGGAGUACCCAUAAUACAGUGAGCCCACCUUCCUGGUCCCCAGACAUUUCAGAAGGUCGGGAAAUUUUUAAACCCAGGCAGCUUCCUGGCAGUGCCAUUUGGAGCAUCAAAGUGGGCCGUGGGUCUGGAUUUCCAGGAAAGCGGAGACCUCGAGGUGCAGGACUGUCGGGGCGAGGUGGCCGAGGCAGGUCAAAGCUGAAAAGUGGAAUCGGAGCUGUUGUAUUGCCUGGGGUGUCUACUGCAGAUAUUUCAUCAAAUAAGGAUGAUGAAGAAAACUCUAUGCACA